Molecule: long non-coding RNA, 7335 nt
Organism: Passer domesticus (house sparrow)
Lineage: Eukaryota; Metazoa; Chordata; Aves; Passeriformes; Passeridae
Exons: 3
Source: RefSeq, a predicted model, not a curated record
UGUAUUGUCUUACCCACAAUUCAUUUAUUUACAAAGUUAUUAAAACUCAUAAUUAAUUAGACUUCUCAUGAGGUCUAAUUCCCUUCUGUGCUUUCUGGUGCAUGACUAUAAAAUUUAGCAGGGGGAACAAUUUGCAUUGCAUCUCUCCCCUGGAGGUCCUUGUCAUCAUUUGAUCAUGGAUUCAACCUAUUCUGUUGUUUUCCCUUUACACCCUUCAGCUUUGAUUCCUGGUUGCACAGUGACACAGCUUCACACAGAGGCAGGAAAAAAUUUCUGGCCUAAAAGAAUUUAGCUUGUGAUUACAGCAGUUCUGUGGAAAGAAUGAGCUGGUGUCAGCCAUCAGCAAGGCUUCUUGGGGGCUGGAAUCUAGCCUACCCAUUUCAGUGCUGCACCUUCUGACAGCGGGUUCUGGCAGGAGAGUUAGAGAGCGUACAGAGCAGAUCCUCUGUUUGAGAAAAAGUCUGUGCAGCUGGUAGCAACUGAGGUGACAAGAGGUGACCAUUGGAAUGCCCCAAGAAGACAUGCUGCAUCAUCAGAUCAGUGCAGUCAGUAACCCAGUCCUACAAGAGACAGGGAAGAAAAGGUCUAAAUGAAUUGAUGAUACAGUUUGGGUGUUUUAUGUGGGACUUGGGCACUUGUGCUGUUGGGAUCUCAACUUCAAGAAGUUCAAGUAUUCUUCUUUCCUCCUCACAGAUCACUAACAAGUACUACAUGACUUGCCACUUUAAAAUAAUUUGUCUUACCUUUUCUUAAGAAAGGCAUUAUUCUGUGUAAAUAUUCUCACCUUUUUGCUUACCUGCCUGGCUGGGUAAAAAAAAAAAAAAAAAAGUAUGUUCUCACAGGACAGGUAUUUUACUUAACAAAAGAAUUAAUCUAGUAAAAUAUAUUAGGAAAAAUGAAGAACUUACUUACAGUAUUAUAUAAUGAAUUUGCAUCUUCUUACCACAUUCAGUUUUCUUCCAGUCCAGUGCUUUUUUUUUUCCUGUACACUCUUCCUGUAGAGUGAACAUAAAGUUAAUUUAAUUAAUGUUCUCAUCCCUGAUUAAUCUGAUUAAUACAAAACACACACAGAUAUGCAACAAAAUGAGCUUCAUGCUUUCAGAAAUCAUUGAAUUGAGGCAUAUAUAUUCUAAGGCUUUGUGAUGUGCACUGGUAAAUGGAGGAUAAUGCAUCUGGAUAAGCAAAUUAAGGCCAAAUGCAGACCUGGUCUAGCAUGCUGAUUCACAAGGUGAUCAUGUUCUCUACCAAAUAAUGUAUUUAAAACCUAUUCCUAAUUAUGAAUCUACUGAGUUUUAAAAUCAAGUGUUUCCAGCUGUCUUUUUCUUAUGAAGGAGGUGGCAAAGGAUCUAGACUAUUGAAGACUGAAGGGAGGAGCGUAAAGAGAAGAUGUAAGGAUUUCUAAGUCUUUCAGAGGAAAAUACAAAGGACUAUGUUCCUAAACUUACCUCAAAAUGUAUGGGUGAGGGGAAAGUCCUGCAGAAAAGUGGACAAGGACUUCUGUUUCUCUGUUUGUACAUGUGUGGUGUAUGUCCACACACAAUUGUGUGGAUGUAGCAUGGGGAGGGAUGGGAAGUAGUAGAUUGAGAGAGGUAAGUGAGAGAAAUAGGAAAGUGAGAGAAAUAUAUCUGGAAUGAGACUUGGACAAGGAAAGGGAGAAUGAGAUUCAAGAGAAGAGGGGACAAAGAAGGUGCAGGAAAGAUUCAGAAUGAAAGGAUGCAGUAAGGCGCAGUAGCUUAAAAGCAAUGCAGGCAAGAUUGAGAGCAAGAAGCAUAGCAGAAAAGGAGAGGAGGAAGUAGGAAGUCAAGAAAGAACAAGCAGUAGAAUUCAUUAAGCCAGGUUUCUUUGGGUUCUAUGACUUGCAAUGAGAUUAUCUCCUGUUUGCUGACCAUUUUCUUAGGUAUUGUAUUAAAAGCAAGGAAGCAUAAACAUAAACAUAAACAUCUAGAUCCUGGGUCUAAUCAGAGCAAAAGUGCUUAGAAAAUACUGAAAUAAGAACAUUUCUACUCAAAAGGAAGCAACUAUUUUUGUAUGUUCUUUUAUAUAUGUAUCUGUAUGUAAAGUGAGUCCUAUAAUGCAGGGCAGUAGGAACCUUUCAAAUUUUGAGAUAUUGUGAUUCCAGCAGCAAACUUGCAAGAUAUUACUCAACAUCAAGGAACAUAUGCAAAUAUUUCAAGAUGUCUGAAGACAAGCCAUGAAAACAAAACAAAACAAUUGCUGAAUUCCAGAAACAAUACUAUCUCAAAAGUACACAGAACAAGUAUUUGUAGAAAUGCAAUCUACAAUUAACCCAAUCAGCAUAAGAUUACUGUUUCAUAUAAAGAAGGACUGCAGAUGAUAAAUCACAGAAUGAACUGAAAGAAAAAUGAAAGUUUUAUGGCCUAAGGAAAACUGGUGAUAGGCAGGUAAUGAACCAGUCUACAGUGUCUAAGGCAGAGAAAAUCCAUGUAAAUGAAUUGUGGUGCUGCUCUGGCCUCAGUGGGAGACUGAUUGGGUUUCUUACACUCUGCCUGGCUCUACUCAGUUUGUGGGAAUGUUGUAACACUGAGACCUUGAGCACUGUCAAAAUCAGUUGAAAUUUUAAAGAAGGUUCCAAAGCUUAUUGCAAGAUUUAUACUGACAGAAUGUGCAACAGAGUAAAUUUUGCUUCCUUAGGAAGGGAGGCAAAACCUGCAGAAAAGCAAAAAGAGAUAGAUAGCCUGUUGAUUGCCACUAGAUUAAAGCUAAAUGCAGUUUACAUUUGUGCUGCAAAUUAGAUUUGCUUUUUGGAUGGCAGAACAUGACUUGCCUAAUUUGGACUAUAAGUCCGAAAUAAAGGACACAUUCAUCAAAAUAAAGUCAAUGACAGUAACCUAAAGGUACAAAUGGGAAGUCCAAUGCACAACACAAUUAACUAAAGGUACAAAUUGGGAGAUACAAAGCACAACACAGUUCUGGGUAAAAGAAAAUGUGCAGUAAAUGCGACAGACAAGAUUGUGACAGAAGGCUGCUCCUAUUUCAGUGCUCAAAAUCCACAAAUGUUUAAGGAAGAUAUGCAUUAAAAGAUCAGGAAUCAGAAGAUUAAUAAGUGAUUACAUAAAUAGUAUUCAGUAUAUUAUUCAGUGUGCUCCCAUAAAUACUAUCCAGCAAUAAAAGAGAGCAGUUAUAUCCAUGUAAAUACAUUUCAGCAACCUCCAUACAAGUUGAAUAUGGAUGGCAAUGACAAAUAAUCCCAAGGGAUCAAACCUCAAACAGAGAAUAAAUCCCUGUAAUGAGCAGGACUGAUCUGCUCUGACGCUGACCUACUGGGUUUCUUUUCCAGAUUUUGACAGUACUUGAGUGAAUGAAAUUUUUGCUAAUGAAACUGAACUGAACUGAGGUUGGCAGAGGAUAUUUUUGCACAGGAUAUUUUGUCAAACAUGACUCUUGUUAAAACUUCUUAUCCCACAAGUUCUACAAAUUGUAUUUUUUAAUGUGUUAAAGAAAAAGUUGGUGAGCAAAUCAUAAUUUUACAUUCAUCAGCUUGGCAAUCUUUUCUGUUAUUUCCUUCAAGCUAACUUUGUAUGUGAUAUUUAAUUGGCCACUCAAAGGAUAUUGUCCAAGCACCAUGCCAGCUGCCUCUCAGGUGAAUUAAUUCGGUCAUUUACUUUGCCUAUAACAUAUGUCCUUGAACUACUGCAGAGUUAAUAGUCAUACAGUAUUAAGCAGUAUAAAUAUUAGAGAAUGGUUCUGAAAACCAUAUGAAUUUGGUCUUAUGACUAGUCUGGUAAACAUUUUUGUCUUACAGUUUUUACUGUUCCAUAGACUAUGUAGCACAGACUUCAUCAGACAGCUAGUGAGUUCAGUGUGUUAUGUGCAAAGGAAUGAUGUACAGCCCAUACAGGAUUGUGGUAGCCCUGGGCUAUUGCACAGCAAAAGAAUAGUUGGAUUCUGUUAAUUCAUUAUUGAUGUUAACUCAUUCUGUGCUAUAAGCAUUGCGAUAGGGUAAACUCACUAUUUAUAUUUUUUAAAAGAGGAAAAGAGCAAGAGAAAAAUUUACAAGCCUGACAGUUUACCUUUGGUCCCCGCAGAUAAUUAAGCAAGCAGUGAAAGACACCAUUAUUAAGCAUUUAAAAGAUAAAGGGGAUAUGUAAAAGCCAACUUAUACCUCCUGAGUACUAAUAUUAACAGGUCACCUAAUUUCCUUCUAAAUGAGCAAUAGGCCUCAAGAAACCAAGAAGUGGAGUCUAGCAGGAUUUCAGGAAGGCUUUUGGUGUUUUUCUAUGUGGGAUUCUCAUUCAUAGGCAAGAUAAUGUGAUUAGAAAACCAAGUGCAAAGAGAAUUUAUCAGUGGUUUGCUAUCAAACUAGAAAGCAUUGAAUAAAAAUUCUUAAAGCAUUGAAUACCAUUAAAUAUGUUUAUUCAUAACUAGGUAUGUUUAUUCAAUUUAUAGAUUAUUUCAAGUUGAAGGAUCUGCAAGCAUACAGAAGGCCAGCAUGAGAAUUGAAAAUUAAUAUUAUUAAUUCAAAGAGCAGUCCACAAGAAGGACCACAGAAUCAUUGAAUGGGUCAUGUAUGAAGGGACCACAGUGGCUCAUCUGGUCCAACCUCCCUGGUCAAGCAGCUCAUCCCAGAUUAGCACAGGAUUGUGUUCAGACAGUUCUUGAAUAUAUUCAGUGAGGGGAGACUCCACAACCUCUCAGGGCAAUCUGUUCCAGUGGUGACAGUGGUCAAUAUCACCACACAGUAGAUAAGUUGUUCCUCAUGUUCAGGUGGAAUUCCUGUGCAUCAGUCCCUGCCCGUUGCCUGUUUUAUUGCUUGGCACCAUUCAGAAGAACCUGGCUCUGUCCUCUUGUCACUAGGCAUAUUUCAAGUUUGGAAAUAUGAAAUUCUGCUCUAAGAAUACUUUGGAAACUAAAAGAACAAAUGAGUUCCAAAAGUGACGGAUUGGUAGAUAAAGGAUGCAGCAAAAUCCAUUUGUAGCUCUAAAAUAUUAUGGCCUUCAGUCCAGGAAGCACUUUGACUGAGAAGACAUAACAGGUCUUGAUCCACUGAACAGACAGAUCCACUGAACAGAUGACAUUUAGCUGAGUGAUGCAGUUGACACUCCUGAAGGAUGGGAUGCCAUCCAGAGAGACCUGGGCAAGCUCCAGAAAUGAGUCCAUGUGAACCUUACAAGACUGAACAAGGGCAAGUGGAAGGUCCUGCAUGUAGGUCAGGGAAAACCUCUUUAUCAAUACAGGCUGGGGGUGGAAGGAUUGAGAACAACCCUGCUGAGAAGAACCUGGGGGUGCUGGUGGAUGAGAGGCCAGACAUGACCUGGCCGUGUGCACUUGCAGCACAGAAAGCCAGCUGGGUCCUGGGCUGCAUCAAAAGCAGCAUGGCCAGCAGGGAGAGGGAAGUGAUUCUGUCCCUCUGCUCUGGUGACACCACACCUGCAGGGCUGCAUCCAGCUGUGCAUGGGAAGAUAUGGACUUGUGGGAGGGAGGCCAGAGGAGGCUAUAAAACUGAACAGAGGGAUGGAACAACUCUGCUACAAUGAAGGACAUCAGGAAGAGCAUCAGGGAACACCUGCUGGAAGGCUGAGGGAAUGGAGGUUAUUCUGCCUGGAGAGAAGAUUCUGGGAAGAUAUUAUUGGAGCCUUUUAGUACUAAAAGGUGGCUUGAAAGAAAAACGGAGACAGACUUUUAAGUAUGGCCUGCGGCAAUUGGACAAGGGGAAAUUGUUUUAGACUAAAAGAGGGUUUAUUCAGAUACUUUAUACGAUGAAGCACUGGAACAGGUUGCCCAGAGAGAUGGUAGAGGCCCCAUUCCUAGAAACAUUCAAGGUCAGGUUGGACAGAGCUCUGAAUGACUUGACCUAUCUGAAGAUGCUGUAAGAUGGCUUACAGCAUGAGGUGUUAGACUAGAGGACCUUCAAAGGAUUCUUCCAACCCAAACCACAGUAUGAUUCUAUGGUUCUAUGUUUCUUUGAUUCUGAAUGAACAGAAUACUUGUUGGAGGAUAGUAAUGGUGAUACUCAGAACUCCAGAGGGAUGGAGGAAUGGAGGCAGAAAUCCUACCUCCUACCCACACUAGUUGGUAUAACCAGCUGGCACAAAGAGCUGUGCCUAUAGUAUAGGAAUGUACACUGGGAUCAAUGAAGUAGUUCUGAGUUACUCUCAGUAUGUGCACCAGGGGUGGAUUUCAGAGUGGAUUUUGAAGGAGAAAAUCCAAGGAGGGAGUGACACAGAGCAGGCUCUGCAACCCUUGCCUUUACUGCAUGAGCAUCCAUGCUGUACUAGUAGUCACAUAGCAGGAGCAGCAAAAAAGGAUUCACAGGAGCCAUUGUAACAGAGCUCAUAUGAUGGUGAAGAUCUGCACCAUUGACACUGCAGGUCAACGUGUACGGGCUGUAGUACAUAGUGUCUUCACAAUUAAAAGACAGCUGAUUGUGUAUUUGCAAACUACAGAUUUUUUUUUCUGCAUAAAUAUGUUAACUGACAUUUAUGCCAAACAUAUUACAUACUCAUGUCAAGAGAAUAGAACCCAUCUGUACUGCAGAGAUGUAAUUAGCAUUAAUUAAUAUGUUCACAUUGUCUGGUUGCUCAUAUAUUUUGCCCUGAAGUCAUAAAUGUGGCAUGGCAUUUAGUAAGGCAGUAUUCAUGAGUCUUCAUCUAAAUUCCAAACAUUUGGGGUUUGUGAUGCUUUUAGUGACCCCUGUUAUUAACUUUUUCUUAGCAUCUAUAGAAAGGGAGUUUUGUUCAUGGCAGUGUUUGAGAAAUUGCUGUUCCUGGUAAGAACUUGUUAUAGGCAAAAAAGUUUCUACAACAAUUGAUACUCUAGCAUAAAAAUAAACAGUUACUGUUAUCUUGUGGCAAAGUAAUGAAGAAACUUGAUUUUCAUAAACAUGAAGGAAUUAACAACAAAUGUUUGGGUAGGUUAUUAACAAGAUACAAUAAAAACUUGUCAUCUAAGCCAUUUGGUAAACAACAUGUAUAUAUUAAUUGAAAAGUUGGCAAAUGAUUGAGGAACAAAUGCACAUCAUUUACAGUAGCACUUUUUUUACCAUUUCUGAUUCAGCAGAGAUCCCCAAACUACUGAACCCACUUGCAUGCGCUAGUCAUGACCAAUAUGUAUUUGUGGAUAACAUGCUCCAAAAAUCUUUAUAGGCAUGUGAGAUUCUCUAUUACUAUUUUUUCUGUCUCUGCAAACCUCUCCUCUGCUUCUAGACAUUCUGAAUAUUGAUACAUAAAAACUGAGGGCUUUGGACUGAAUUUCUUAAUUGGAAAUCUUUUAAGUGAAUAUUAAUGUUGCUUCACAAGUCAUAAUAAAUGGAGUCACAUGUACAUCCUGCGUAGUUUACUGUAAUAUUUCCUUUAUCCUCCAUUUCUGAGGGCCUCU